GAAUUAGAGAGUUAAACAGAAAACUGUAACAGUGAGUGGUUUUGUAAAAAGGAGAAAAAUGAAAGGAGGGGAGGGGGGAAAGGAGAAUAAGAUAACUACACCUGGAGGAAAAGCAAGUCGGCUAUGAAAAACAGAAUCACCAAAGUGCAGCACCAUUAAAAAGAUGCACUGUUAUGGCAAUGGGUAAUCUGCUGUAU
This is a long non-coding RNA of Myripristis murdjan (pinecone soldierfish), 197 nucleotides long. RefSeq lists it as uncharacterized. The transcript is spliced from 4 exons. NCBI's taxonomy places the organism in Eukaryota, Metazoa, Chordata, Actinopteri, Holocentriformes, Holocentridae. The record is from RefSeq and is a predicted model, not a curated record.